UCCGAAAGUAGUGGCGAGCGAAAUCGGACAAGCCUUUGAGUUUUAGCAGCUUUGUUAACAGAACGGUCUGGAAAGGCCGGCCAUAGUGGGUGAUAGCCCCGUAUGUAAAAACAUCGUUGUGGAACUAGAGAGGAUAGAUGAAAUACUUGGAAAAGUGUAGCAUAGAAGGUGAAACUCCUGUAAUUUAAAUUCUCAAUAGCUCUAUUGGUAUCCUGAGUAGGUCGGAACACGUGAUAUUUUGACUGAAACUGGGGGGACCACCCUCCAAUCCUAAAUACUACUUACAGAUCGAUAGUGAACAAGUACCGUGAGGGAAAGGUGAAAAGUACUCCAGCGAGGAGAGUGAAAUAGAACCUGAAACCAUUAGCUUACAAUCAUUCAGAGCCCUAUGAUUUAUCAGGGUGAUGGACUGCCUUUUGCAUAAUGAGCCUGCGAGUUGUGGUGUCUGGCAAGGUUAAGUCAAGUACGAAGCCGUAGCGAAAGCGAGUCUUAAUAGGGCGAUUUAGUCAGAUGCUGCAGACCCGAAACGAAGUGAUCUAUCCAUGAGCAGGUUGAAGCUGGUGUAAGAGCCAGUGGAGGACCGAACCCGCAGGCGUUGAAAAGUCUUGGGAUGACUUGUGGAUAGGGGUGAAAGGCCAAUCAAACUUCGUGAUAGCUGGUUCUCUCCGAAAUAUAUUUAGGUAUAGCCUUGUGUUGUAGCAUAUGGGGGUAGAGCACUGAAUGGGCUAGGGCUGCUUACCGCGGUACCAAACCCUAUCAAACUAUGAAUACUAUAUGUGGAAUCACAGGAGUCAGGCGGUGGGUGAUAAAAUCAAUCGUCGAGAGGGGAACAACCCAGACUAACAGCUAAGGUCCCUAAGUUACAUCUAAGUGGAAAACGAUGUGGAGUUACUGUGACAACCAGGAGGUUGGCUUAGAAGCAGCCAUCCUUUAAAGAAAGCGUAACAGCUCACUGGUCUAGUGAUUCUGCGCGGAAAAUAUAACGGGGCUAAGAUGUACACCGAAGCUUUAGAUUCAAUUUUUAAUUGAGUGGUAGGAGAGCGUUCUAUUCAGCGUAGAAGAUGUACCGGUAAGGAGCGUUGGAGCGGAUAGAAGUGAGCAUGCAGGCAUGAGUAGCGAUAAUUGAGGUGAGAAUCCUCAACGCCGAAAACCCAAGGUUUCCUACGCGAUGCUCGUCAUCGUAGGGUUAGUCGGGUCCUAAGUCGAGUCCGAAAGGGGUAGACGAUGGCAAAUUGGUUAAUAUUCCAAUACCAACAUAUAAGCGCGAUGUGGGGACGCAUAGAGUUAGUCGAGCUCACUGAUGGAAUAGUGGGUCGAAGGACGUAGGCUGUUACUUAGGCAAAUCCGGGUAACGUUAGGCCGAGAUCUUACAGGCUCUUGACACUCUUCGGAGGAGAUGGAGAAUCGAUGAUACUGUCGUGCCAAGAAAAGCCACUAAGUAUAUUGUAUGUUGCCCGUACCGUAAACCGACACAGGUGGGUGGGAUGAGUAUUCUAAGGCGCGUGGAAGAACCCUGGUUAAGGAACUCUGCAAACUAGCACCGUAUCUUCGGUAUAAGGUGUGCCUACUUCUGUAUAUGGACUUGCUCCAAAAAGCGGAAGAGGUUGCAACAAAGAGUCCCUCCCGACUGUUUACCAAAAACACAGCACUUUGCUAACACGUAAGUGGAUGUAUAAGGUGUGACGCCUGCCCGGUGCUCGAAGGUUAAUUGAUGGUGUCAGAGCAAUCGAAGCACUUGAUCGAAGCCCGAGUAAACGGCGGCCGUAACUAUAACGGUCCUAAGGUAGCGAAAUUCCUUGUCGGGUAAGUUCCGACCUGCACGAAUGGCGUAACGAUGGCCACACUGUCUCCUCCCGAGACUCAGCGAAGUAUCGUGACUGGGAAAC
Molecule: ribosomal RNA, 1886 nt
Filed under: freshwater metagenome
Description: bacterial LSU rRNA
Rfam family: Bacterial large subunit ribosomal RNA
Source: RNAcentral